UAGCCGUAAACGAUACUCGCUAGGUGUCGGCCACGGUGCGACCGUUGUCGGUGCCGUAGGGAAGCCGUGAAGCGAGCCACCUGGGAAGUACGGCCGCAAGGCUGAAACUUAAAGGAAUUGGCGGGGGAGCACAACAACGGGUGGAGCUUGCGGUUUAAUUGGAUUCAACGCCGGAAAUCUUACCGGGACCGACAGCAACAUGAAGGCCAAGCUGAAGACUUUGCCGGAUUAGCUGAGAGGAGGUGUAUGGCGUAGUCGUGU
RNAcentral lists this ribosomal RNA (261 nucleotides) under uncultured archaeon. RNAcentral's name for it is "partial 16S ribosomal RNA". It matches the Rfam family "Archaeal small subunit ribosomal RNA", at positions 748 to 1009 of the family's 1478-position model. The record is from RNAcentral.